CAACAUAGUUGAGAGACCUUCUGAGAACCUGGAAGUGGUUUCAUUGUGUUAAUCUGAUGCUGGUAACAAGCCUAGACUUACAGUAUGGAUCAUCACCUGCAUGCUAGCCACAAUAUUUUCCUCUGCUGAAAGGUUUUUGGACAUUCCUGAACUAUGUUUGCAGGCAAUAUUUGAAAGAGUAUGUAACAGAAACUUAAGAAGAACCAUAGAGACCAAAGGAUCAUUUAUUUCAGUAUCCCUCCUCCUACAGUAGACAAAAAUAAUAAUCUAGAGAAGGGUGAAAAAAGCCAUCAAACGUACUUCCCCUGAAUAAUGCUGCAGUCCAAGCCACCCUCCCAGCCUUUGAUCUUGUCUCCUGCAACAAAGGUCUUGGAUUUGACCUCUGUGAGGUCCAUGCUACCUCACAGAGGGCCUCUCCCCACUCCCGUGCUGCUGCUAAGCCAGCUGCUGAGGCUGCUCAGAUAUCUCUGAAAUAAUGAACCACAGCAGUCUAUCAUAUUAAAGUAAACCACCAUCAAUUUCAGUUUUCCUUAGUAAAUUAAACUUUUUUCUGUCCAUUCAAAAGAUGCUGCCUGAGCAGUUUAGUGGACUAUGCCCUAUUAACUUUGACCCAUGCUUUAGGGUAAACUGGCAAGAUGCUAUGGGUUGCACAUGUCCCACUGUGGAACUUCUUGACGUCAUAAGAAGCAAAUAUGUUACUAGCCAAAGACAGUAUUGACAUGUAAAUUUAUGAUGACUAAAAAAUAAAAAUAAAAAAAUCAACCCACAACAAUACAUAUAGCAUUGAUGUGCUACAUCCUUUUUGAUGAAAUAUGUGCUAUAUCCUUUUUGAUGAAAUAUUUAGUAGCAGAUAAUGUCUGGCUUAUUUUAGUGUUCAAGCCAGAGCAAGUCCUGACACUCACAGAAGGAAGUCAAUUGAAAUGGAAGGGGCAAAUGAAGAGGACAAUUACUUGAACCAUUAAACAGAGACAAGACAAGCAUAAUUAAUGAACUUCACGGGAGAAAAGUAUUAAAUAGUGAUAACUGAAUAUUCAGCUGAAUUCAACUAUAAAAUGGUUGUAACAGUUCAAAAAAUAGCCUGUAGUCAUAUCUGCUUAUUAAAAAUGGUCUCUUUAACCUAUCAGCAAG
RNAcentral lists this long non-coding RNA (1128 nucleotides) under Anas platyrhynchos platyrhynchos (common mallard). RNAcentral's name for it is "lncRNA (ENSAPLG00000028884.1)". Lineage: Eukaryota; Metazoa; Chordata; Aves; Anseriformes; Anatidae. The record is from RNAcentral.